Molecule: long non-coding RNA, 383 nt
Organism: Empidonax traillii (willow flycatcher)
Lineage: Eukaryota; Metazoa; Chordata; Aves; Passeriformes; Tyrannidae
Exons: 2
Source: RefSeq, a predicted model, not a curated record
CCGCCCGCACCUCGCACACGCCAAGUUCUGCAGCUCCCGCUGUUCGAAAACAGAGAGAAGAGCGAUGUUCACCGGCCGCCGGGAGUGGCGAGCCAGUGGCAUUUCAUUCAAAAAGGGGGUGAUUGGACUGACAACAGAACUCUGCUGAGAUCCCUUCUCCUGUGAUGUGUUCUGCUGUCACUGACAAUGAAAUGCAUGGCAUAAAGCAGUGCAGAGGCUGACGCUGUUUUCCUCCACUGGUUCUUCAUUAUGUGAUAUCCUUUUUUCUAGAGCUAAGGUAAUUAAAUAACAGCAAAAUCUACAAGGCUACAAAGGAACAUUGCUUUUUCAUUGCCAUAAAUUUCCAUUAAACAGAAAGAUUUAUGAUAUGCGCUGUUUGAAAA